AAAAGAGUGGUUAGUUGGUUGAGAAGAGUUUUGGCGUUUGUUGGUUGUUCUGUGAAGAAGAAGUUGUCAGUGUUGUGAGGAGCUGCCUGUGAGACAUCAUCGAGAAGCUCUGAACUACAUGGGGAAUGACUCGGCAAGUGAGUGUUUUGAAUGAGCAGCAGUGAGUGUAUUCUGAGAAUUGUUUUUUUCCACAUCAGCACCCUUUUAAGAAAGAUGAACUAUUUCAAUUCAGACGGAUUAAAGGAGUGAAGGAGAGCGAAUAAAAAGAGAACGUCUUCCCAUCUUCUUUGUUAGAUGACCUUGUGCCAUGCUCUAUAAUAAGAAGAAUAGCAAGACACAAUUCCACAGAGAUAUAGCUUGAGAAGUUAAGCAGUUUGAGACCUUUCAGAUUGUUUUAUUUUCCCCUGAAAUUGAUUUUGCAAUCAGAAAUGUCUUUGUUGUAAUCUUGUUUAUUUUUGAAAAAUGUACAUGGAAUCCUAUUUUCCUGAAUAUGGUGGAAAAUAAGAAACAGGAGACACAUCUUUCAUCUGAUAACAUUUUACUCUGAAUUCUCUUGUUUGGAUUGCUCUCUGACUUAAUUCUCUCGCUGUUUCCUGUGUUUUCCUUCUGGUGUACGCACAUGCACACAUAGUAAUUUAAACUCUGGUCACCUAUUAACACUUAAUCUGAACUUAGAACACAAGUCCUAUGAGGAGCAACAGAGGGCUUUGGGCUUGUCUAGUUUGGAGUGAAGGAGGCUGAGAGGUGACCUCAUUGCUCUCUGGAGCAGCUUCCUGCAGAGGGGAAGUGGAGAGGGAUGUUCUGAUCACAUCUCCCUCUGACCCACUGACAGGACAGAAAGGAAUAGUUUCAGCCUGCACCACAGGAGGUUCAGACUGGAUUAGGAAGCCUUUCCUCAUAAGAGGGAGAUCAAACACUGGAACAGGCUUCCUAGAGAAGUGGUCCAUGCCCCAAGCAGUCAGUGUUUAAGAGGCAUUUGGACAAUGCCCUUAAUAGCAUGCUUUAAGUUCUGGUCAGUCCUGACCUGGUCAGUCUGCUGGACUGGAUGAUUAUCCUAUUCCAGGGUUCUAUUGCCCUCUGCCAUUAGUAAAAGAGUCAGAAAUUGUACUGCAUCCUUGUUGCGCUUAAAUGAAAUCAUGGCCUUGCUAGCCACAUAAGCUUUCUAAAAUCUCUGGUCCUGUAGCACCUCAAGACCUAAGAAUUAUAAGCCAUUCAGCUUCCUGCAUAACAGCUGAAUUGUGACAAAACAUUAAAUUUAAGCUUUUCAAUUGAGAUAUUUGCCUUCCUUUAUGUUUUUAUGGCACUUGGGGCAACCAACAAGAUCAAGACUUGAGUGUGUACAAUGCUGAUUAAUAACAAGUUAUGUUGUGCCAAGUUUCAGAAAGAAAAGACUCUCACAGGCAAAAAUGAGAUAUUAAACAUGAAAUAAAAAGACGUGAGAGUACUCUAACUAAAAAUUCAGAACCUUUUUGAAAAACUUUAACUUCAUUUUUAGCAUUAUUUGGAAAUUUUUUGCUUUGGUUUGUAGCAAUAGAUGAACGCUGUCAUAAAUAUAGAGGAACUGAUUUUUAAAAAGAAAUCUUAUAAAUGGCCACAGGCAAUUUCAGAAGUAUAAUUCCCAUCUGUUUUGAUGAAUAACAUCUUAGCAGAUUUUCAGUUGCCAAGUAUUUUUAAUGCUAUUCUGAAAUUGGAUAGAAGUUAGAUUGAGUUGAUUCUUCACUCAGAAUAAAAUUACAAAUCUAUAAGCACAUUUUAGAUCUGCUAGCUCAAAUAAUUAGGUGUCACAAGGCAAAACACAAGUCAGUGAGGAAGCUGAGUUUUAUGGAUCAGAUGUGUUCAUAACCUCUAUGGGGGCAAUCCACUUGACUGAACACUGCAUGUGAAUAAGAUCCAUUAGAAACACUUCCAGAUACUGUAAAUAUAUUUUGGAAUUUUUAAAGGUAGAUAAUAUUGAUGUUACAUGUCUUAACAUGACAUGAAAUGUCUAAUACCAUUUGCAGAAUUGCUUGCAUUAUACAGAUACAGCUUAUAUUGGUUCCAAAGUUCAACCAUACCACCUCUUACAUACUGAUUUCCAAAUUUAAGAGCCCUGUUUAUAUUUGUCACUGACAUCUUGAAUUGUCAGAAUGCCAGCUGAAGCCAUGUAUGUAUUCAUGCUUGAUUGGAGGAGAUAAUGGCAGAGAGUCUGAGCUCUAGAAGGAAAGAGGAAGGUACAGAAGACUGCCUUGGCUCUGCUUGGCAAGUAUGAUACCCCAGCAGGGACUCCUGGAUAAGACAUUAAUGUCAUUAGGGUUAUGUAUGCAUAUCUUGACAAAUAUUACUUUGUGCAUACAUCUUACAGAUUGAAAACAUGUAGGAAGAACUGAAAUUAGUUUUCAGAUAUUAUUUGGGGUAAUUUGAAUUAAUUUCCAACCCUCUCUGUAAUUAAAAAUGAGAAAUGAGGAAAACUACUAAGCAUAACUUUUGAGAAAUUAAAAAAUUAUAAGGUGCAUAUACAUGUCUUUUGCUGGAAUGUCCAGUUUUACCCACAAAGUGGCAGGAGAAAUCUUUAAUGUGCUUAACUUGAGAACAUGAAGUUACAUGCCUGUAUUUUUCUAGAAUUGUGACUUUUUGAAUACUCUCAUUUGAUACAGAUCAAUUUAGAGACACUACAAAGAUGAUACACUAGUAUGGUAGAUUAGCCAUGGCUAACAAUCUCCUACCCUGCUGCUCUCUCCCUGCUCCUCCUCAGUGGGACAGGAUUAGAAAAUAAGAAGAAAACAACCCAUGGGUUAAGAUGAGGGCAAGGAGAUUGCUUACCAAUGACUGUUGUUGGCAAAACAGACUUGACUGAGAGAAAAUUAGUUAAUAUUAACAAUUAAAAUAGAGUGGGAUGAUAAGAAAAUUAAACAAAAACUAAAGCACUUUUCCCCCACCCUCAUCCCCUCUUUUCUCAGGCUCCACAUCAUUCUUUCAUUCCCAACUUGCUCCUGCCCCCAGACCGGUGCAGAAAGAAUGGGGAUUGCACCCAGGCCAUAAGAGCUCCUCUUUCUCACACCUUCCUCCACUUCGAUUUGCUCUGCUCCAGCAUCUGCCUUUCCAUGGACUGCAGUCCUUCAGGGUAAACAUGAUUUUCCAUGGACUCUUCGGGGGCUGCAGACUUUAAAGGGAAUAGGAUCUGAGGCUAAUAGCUGUGCAAGGGUUUGAAGAUAAAAACUCUGAUAUAACUUUUUAUGUGAGCAAAGCUACAGAUGGUGGUGCCAUUUUGUGGCCAUCUCCGUGGGUCUAGUUUUCAAGAGGGAUAUAAAUUAAUGGGGGUGGGAGAAUUUUAACACAUUGACUCACUAGUAUAGUUGGCAUUUCUUAUGGUGCUAUGGUUUUAUUUGCAUACAUGAAGUUUGUUCAUUUGUUUUAAAUAAAUGAAGACAGAAAUGAUGGGCAAUGAAUGACUGUCUAAAUCUAGUCUUGGGUAGACCUGUAACGAGGAAGUGUAUUAUGGAAACCCAGGAGGAAAGACAUUUCCACCUCUGAGAAAAGAAAAUAUGUUGAAAAUUGGAAAAGGACUUACAUAAAUGCCCAUGAGUAAACAAUUAUUCACAGUGUCUAAAGAUGGCCAAUGGAAGCACAUGUUCACUGGAAGAGGAUGUUUCUGCAAGAUCAGCAAUGGCCAUUUGUUCAGUGUGGGAUGGUUGUGAUUAUGCUGCUAUGUUGUCUAUUGACUUAGAAAAAGUCAGUUUGGAGAAGUAUUUUUACCAGUAAUAUGGUGGGACAUAAGUGCCUAAGGAUCAGAAUCAGACUGAGAUUUCUUUAGCUACAAGGAGAGAUUGUCUUUGUUGCUUGUCCAUUCAUUUCUUGUAAUAUGUGAUAGUGCCUCAUGAAAUCCAUGCAAUGGCCCUUGUGCAAUAUCAGUGUUAUCCUCCCUUUCUUCUUUCAGAGUAUGCAGCCAUAAUGUUGCCCCCACUGGGCA
Long non-coding RNA from Passer domesticus (house sparrow), 3946 nucleotides. RefSeq lists it as uncharacterized. NCBI's taxonomy places the organism in Eukaryota, Metazoa, Chordata, Aves, Passeriformes, Passeridae. The transcript is spliced from 4 exons. The record is from RefSeq and is a predicted model, not a curated record.